This 790-nucleotide ribosomal RNA is filed under the name Paenibacillus polymyxa. RNAcentral's name for it is "bacterial SSU rRNA". It matches the Rfam family "Bacterial small subunit ribosomal RNA", at positions 55 to 832 of the family's 1533-position model. Lineage: Bacteria; Bacillati; Bacillota; Bacilli; Caryophanales; Paenibacillaceae. The record is from RNAcentral.
AUGCAAGUCGAGCGGACAGAUGGGAGCUUGCUCCCUGAUGUUAGCGGCGGACGGGUGAGUAACACGUGGGUAACCUGCCUGUAAGACUGGGAUAACUCCGGGAAACCGGGGCUAAUACCGGAUGGUUGUUUGAACCGCAUGGUUCAAACAUAAAAGGUGGCUUCGGCUACCACUUACAGAUGGACCCGCGGCGCAUUACCUAGUUUGUGAGGUAACGGCUCACCAAGGCUACGAUGCGUAGCCGACCUGAGAGGGUGAUGGGCCACACUGGGACUGAUACACGCCCCAUACUCCUAGGGGAGGCAGCGGUAGGGAAUCUUCCGCACUGAACGAAAGUUGGACGAACCAACCCCGGGUGGGGGAUGAUGGUUUUCGGAUCCCAAAGUUCUGUGGUUAGGGAAGACCAGUUCCCUUUCAAAUAGGUCGGUCCCUUCCCGAAACGUACCUCAAAUCCCUCGGAUAGUUAGAGGCUGUCACGACCGGUAAAAGUUCGUCGCCAGGCUUGUCUGAAAUAAUGGGCCCAAAGGGCUCGCAGGCGGUUUCUUAAUUCUGAUGUGUUACCCCUUGCUCACCAGUCCAGGGUCAUUGGUGACUGUGAACUUGAGUGCAGAAUAGAGAGUGAAAUUCCCCGUGUAUCGGUCACAUGCGUAUAGAUGUGGAAGAACACCAGUGGCGAAUGCUGCUCUCUGCCCUGUAACUGACUCUGAGAGCGAAAUCAUGACGAGAGAACCGCAUUAGAUACCGUGGUACUCCACACCCCUCUACGAUGAUUGCUAAUGUGAUGGGAAUU